GCCGACGAGUGGCGAACGGGUGAGUAAUAUAUCGGAACGUGCCCAGUCGUGGGGGAUAACGUAGAGAAAUUUACGCUAAUACCGCAUACGAUCUAAGGAUGAAAGCGGGGGAUCGCAAGACCUCGCGCGAUUGGAGCGGCUGAUAUCAGAUUAGGUUGUUGGUGAGGUAAAAGCUCACCAAGCCGACGAUCUGUAGCUGGUUUGAGAGAACGACCAGCCACACUGGGACUGAGACACGGCCCAGACUCCUACGGGAGGCAGCAGUGGGGAAUUUUGGACAAUGGGCGAAAGCCUGAUCCAGCAAUGCCGCGUGCAGGAAGAAGGCCUUCGGUU
RNAcentral lists this ribosomal RNA (333 nucleotides) under Aeromonas salmonicida subsp. salmonicida 01-B526. Its description in RNAcentral is "bacterial SSU rRNA". It matches the Rfam family "Bacterial small subunit ribosomal RNA", at positions 87 to 423 of the family's 1533-position model. Lineage: Bacteria; Pseudomonadati; Pseudomonadota; Gammaproteobacteria; Aeromonadales; Aeromonadaceae. The record is from RNAcentral.